UGACAUAAUUUAACUUGCAUAUACUAUGUAAAUAUAUUAAAAUAACUUAGGAGCCUUUGAGUGACUCAAUUCUGAUUAAAUUCUAUUUUUAUACAACAUCACAAACUUUAAUUGAUUUUUACAUGUCCACUUAUCACUAGUGUAAACUGUGGGGGAGGUGAUAGUGUCCUUUAUCUAAAAAAAAAAAAAAAGUAAAUAGUAGGACAUGUGUCUUGUAUAGACUGUUUUCUUGGCUGUGUAAUAUAUAAGAAACUGGUUAAGCAAAAUUUUAAAAGAUACCAGGGCACUUUAAUGUAUAUAUUAGAUAUCUAAAAGCCUAUGGCAAAU
This 327-nucleotide long non-coding RNA is filed under the name Bos taurus (domestic cattle). RNAcentral describes it as "long non-coding RNA NONBTAT005537". The record is from RNAcentral. Lineage: Eukaryota; Metazoa; Chordata; Mammalia; Artiodactyla; Bovidae.